This 2242-nucleotide unclassified non-coding RNA is filed under the name Drosophila mojavensis. RNAcentral's name for it is "GI12835". The record is from RNAcentral. Lineage: Eukaryota; Metazoa; Arthropoda; Insecta; Diptera; Drosophilidae.
AAAAAAAAAAAAAUUAGCUAGCUCGUUGCAGUUGUUGCAAGUGAAGUGCGUGCCAGUAACGGCAGAAACAACAACAAAAACAACAAAGCAAAAAAAAUUAUUUGUUUAUUUAUUGAGGCGGGCGCGCAGGGCAUUGUGUCAAUGCAAAAUUGACGAUUAUAUAAAAGUGCGCGGCAUUCAAUUCUAAUUACAAACAAACGGCAAAUAAAGUGCAAUUUGACUGUGUGUGCAUGUCUGUGCAUGUUUGUGCGCGUUGGUGUGGGAAAUGGCAAAGUGUGUUUGGUUUUUUAGGCCAAGUGUUUGUUAGGCCGGAAAUAAAUAAAAGGCAGCGACAGCUCUGCCCACACGUAAAGAGCCAACAGCUAAAAGCCAACAGCAAGCGACAAGCGGCAAAAGGCUUUUUCUCGAUCGCACGUGCAAAAUGGCGGCCGGCCGGCAAAGUUACUAAAGCAACAACAAUGCCAAGCAGGAGCUUAAACCGAAACUCUCCAAUUACACACACACAUACGUAUAGACGAUCGUGGCGCCAACUGGCGGCAGUUUUAUGCACUCGAUCACAUUCUUAAUAUGUUGCCUUCAAAACAAUUCAAACAACAAUAGUUAACGCAACGUUUCUAAAACAUUUCUCAAAUAAUUAAACUAAGCAAAAGUAAAUUAAAGGAAAAAAAAAAAAAUUAAACUUAAACUUUGUUAACCAAAAGUGGCCUGCAAAACGAAGCAACAACCCAGAAAUGUGAUUCCAAGUGCGAAAUGUAACAAAAAACGUAAACAAUUUUGUUUUGGAUAAACAAAAUAGUAAAGAAAGAAGUAAAUAAAAUUAAAAUAAUAAUUACGAAAAUCAAUAACAACAACAACAACAACAACAACAACAACAAAUGGAACUCGCGCGAGCAGCCAUUGUCAAUGAUUAAUACGGAGAGUUAGAUUCAUAGCUCACCACGUCGCCGUCGCCGGACUCGCCGUCGUCUUAGUUAGCAUUAGACGUAGCCACACACACACACACACACCUCAACACACACGCAUACACCCACACACCCUUUUCAAUGCAGCAGCAGCAGCAACAGUCGCAUCAACAGUUUUUAGAACGUUAGCCGAAGCACACACAGAGUUCCAGAGCAGCCAGAGCUAGAGAGCGAGCAGCGUACACAUAGCCAGAGGAAAAGAGAUAGACAGCAGGACAGUGAGCGAAAGCGAUUUAGCCAACAUGGACAUCAAGAUUGAGCAGCAGCAGCAGCAGCAGCAGCAGCAACAACAACAACAACAGCAACAGCAGCAGCAGCAGCAAACGGAGCUGGGGCCCGUUUCGCCUUCGGAGGUGCCAAAUGAUCCUGGAAAAAUGUUCAUUGGCGGCCUCAGCUGGCAGACCAGUCCAGAGAGCUUACGCGAUUAUUUUGGACGCUAUGGCGAUAUCUCUGAGGCAAUGGUCAUGAAGGAUCCCACGACACGCAGAUCCAGGGGCUUUGGCUUUGUCACAUUCAGCGAUCCAAAUAGCGUAGAUAAGGUACUCACCCAAGGCACACACGAGCUGGAUGGCAAAAAGGUGGACCCGAAAGUAGCUUUUCCGCGACGUGCACAUCCCAAGAUGGUGACGAGAACGAAGAAAAUCUUUGUGGGCGGCCUCUCGGCGCCCACCACGCUAGAGGAUGUCAAAAGCUACUUUGAACAGUUUGGUCCGAUCGAGGACGCAAUGCUGAUGUUUGACAAGCAGACCAAUCGGCACAGAGGUUUUGGCUUCGUUACAUUUCAAAGCGAAGAUGUGGUAGACAAAGUUUGUGAAAUUCAUUUCCAUGAGAUAAACAACAAAAUGGUCGAGUGCAAGAAGGCGCAGCCCAAGGAGGUAAUGCUGCCGGCAAAUCUGGCCAAGACACGGGCGGCCGGUCGUUCCGCUUACGAUAACAUCAUGUGGGGUCUGGGGACAUUGCCCGAAGGCUUUCCGGCAGCUGCGUAUGCUGCUUAUGCCGCUGGUCGCGGCUAUUCGGGUUAUCCCAGCUUCGGACUACCCUAUCCAACUGCUGGCGUUAUGGGCGUAAUGCCGGAGAAUCGUAUACUGAUCGGUGAUUAUUUGGUCGCCCCAACGACAGCCAGCAGCACGGCCUAGAAGCAACUCUGACUCUAUGAUCUAAACUGAUAUUUUUUCGAUCGAGUAUUAUAUCAAAAUCUGAACUAAUAAAUCUCAAACCAUCUUAUAACUAUAAAAAUUGAUCUAACCAAUGGGCAGCUGACCCCCAACAAUAAUACACCA